RNAcentral lists this long non-coding RNA (215 nucleotides) under Homo sapiens (human). RNAcentral's name for it is "lncAB266.1". The record is from RNAcentral. Lineage: Eukaryota; Metazoa; Chordata; Mammalia; Primates; Hominidae.
GCCAAUUCCCAGAAAGAGUCCACUCACAUAGUGGGGGAGGGGGAGGAUGAGGUACACAUAGACACACAUUAUAAAGAAGCCCAACGUCUUCACUGGCAAUUCCGGGUGCUGCACGGCCGAGUCCACCUCGUCCUCACUGUCAAGGACCACACCAUCUUCCGCGAGCACCUCUGGCUUGAGAGGAAUAUCUGAGAGCUUAUCAACUUUACUCUCCC